RNAcentral lists this long non-coding RNA (689 nucleotides) under Pan troglodytes (chimpanzee). Its description in RNAcentral is "lncRNA (ENSPTRG00000052938.1)". Lineage: Eukaryota; Metazoa; Chordata; Mammalia; Primates; Hominidae. The record is from RNAcentral.
AGAAAAAAAAAAAAAAAAAACCAGUGUAUGAAGCAUCCAUGUCACAGACCCAUCCAGACUGUGUUCUGAGGCACAAAAGUUAGGACACGUGACCACGUUUUUACAAAGACUCAAAAGUCAGAGAGAGAGAGAAAUGGGAGUGGUAGGGAUGGGGAGAUGAAGGAGGAAAAAUGAAUUCAUGGAAACAGAAUUGUGUCAGGGGAUUAUAUGCAUUUACGAGGCAUUUAUUCCGUAUUGCCAAAUCUCCCUCAAGACAGGUAUUAUUUUCUUUACAAUUUUUUCUAACUGUUAAAAUAUUUAUUACAAUGUAAUGGGAAUUGUUUAUAUAGAGAGUCUGAAACUUCUCUUUGCCCCGUUUCUGUGUUUCAGACAGCAAAGGCAUAUAAAGCCAUGAAAAACUGCUAUAUACAUGGUCUCUUAUUUUAUUUUUAUAGAUAUCUAUUGAAAUCGAGACUCCUACCCAGAUAUCUUUAGUGGAUGAAGCAUCAGGAGAGGAGACUUCAGAUUGGUGCAAGGAGAAGCUGCUAGAAUGGAGCUUCUGUACUCCAGGGGCAGAGUCAAAGACAUCCAAAGUGUAUAUUUAGAUACUAUGUUGUGUGAUCCAAGAUUUUACCAAAUUCCAAGUCGGGAGGAGUGUUUAAGUGGAGUCUUAGAGCUGGUUCAAAGCUGGAUCACUCGGAGCCUGUACC